ACAAAUCUGUUCUCAGUUCGGAUCGCAGUCUGCAACUCGACUGCGUGAAGCUGGAAUCGCUAGUAAUCGCGGAUCAGCAUGCCGCGGUGAAUACGUUCCCGGGCCUUGUACACACCGCCCGUCACACCACGAGAGUUUGUAACACCCGAAGUCGGUGAGGUAACCGUUAUGGAGCCAGCCGCCGAAGGUGGGACAGAUGAUUGGGGUGAAGUCGUAACAAGGUAGCCGUAUCGGAAGGUGCGGCUGGAUCACCUCCUUUCUAAGGA
RNAcentral lists this ribosomal RNA (266 nucleotides) under Bacillus siamensis. Its description in RNAcentral is "partial 16S ribosomal RNA". It matches the Rfam family "Bacterial small subunit ribosomal RNA", at positions 1276 to 1533 of the family's 1533-position model. The record is from RNAcentral. Lineage: Bacteria; Bacillati; Bacillota; Bacilli; Caryophanales; Bacillaceae.